GCUUAACACACGCAAGUCGAGGGGCAGCGGGGGUAGUGAUACCCGCCGGCGACCGGCGCACGGGUGAGUAACGCGUAUGCAACUUGCCUAUCAGAGGGGGAUAACCCGGCGAAAGUCGGACUAAUACCGCAUGAAGCAGGGGCCCCGCAUGGGGAUAUUUGCUAAAGAUUCAUCGCUGAUAGAUAGGCAUGCGUUCCAUUAGGCAGUUGGCGGGGUAACGGCCCACCAAACCGACGAUGGAUAGGGGUUCUGAGAGGAAGGUCCCCCACAUUGGUACUGAGACACGGACCAAACUCCUACGGGAGGCAGCAGUGAGGAAUAUUGGUCAAUGGCCGAGAGGCUGAACCAGCCAAGUCGCGUGAGGGAUGAAGGUUCUAUGGAUCGUAAACCUCUUUUAUAAGGGAAUAAAGUGCGGGACGUGUCCCGUUUUGUAUGUACCUUAUGAAUAAGGAUCGGCUAACUCCGUGCCAGCAGCCGCGGUAAUACGGAGGAUCCGAGCGUUAUCCGGAUUUAUUGGGUUUAAAGGGUGCGUAGGCGGCCUUUUAAGUCAGCGGUGAAAGUCUGUGGCUCAACCAUAGAAUUGCCGUUGAAACUGGGGGGCUUGAGUAUGUUUGAGGCAGGCGGAAUGCGUGGUGUAGCGGUGAAAUGCAUAGAUAUCGCGCAGAACCCCGAUUGCGAAGGCAGCCUGCCAAGCCAUUACUGACGCUGAUGCACGAAAGCGUGGGGAUCAAACAGGAUUAGAUACCCUGGUAGUCCACGCAGUAAACGAUGAUCACUAGCUGUUUGCGAUACACUGUAAGCGGCACAGCGAAAGCGUUAAGUGAUCCACCUGGGGAGUACGCCGGCAACGGUGAAACUCAAAGGAAUUGACGGGGGCCCGCACAAGCGGAGGAACAUGUGGUUUAAUUCGAUGAUACGCGAGGAACCUUACCCGGGUUUGAACGCAUUCGGACCGAGGUGGAAACACCUUUUCUAGCAAUAGCCGUUUGCGAGGUGCUGCAUGGUUGUCGUCAGCUCGUGCCGUGAGGUGUCGGCUUAAGUGCCAUAACGAGCGCAACCCUUGCCACUAGUUACUAACAGGUAAAGCUGAGGACUCUGGUGGGACUGCCAGCGUAAGCUGCGAGGAAGGCGGGGAUGACGUCAAAUCAGCACGGCCCUUACAUCCGGGGCGACACACGUGUUACAAUGGCGUGGACAAAGGGAGGCCACCUGGCGACAGGGAGCGAAUCCCCAAACCACGUCUCAGUUCGGAUCGGAGUCUGCAACCCGACUCCGUGAAGCUGGAUUCGCUAGUAAUCGCGCAUCAGCCAUGGCGCGGUGAAUACGUUCCCGGGCCUUGUACACACCGCCCGUCAAGCCAUGGGAGCCGGGGGUACCUGAAGUCCGUAACCGAAAGGAUCGGCCUAGGGUAAAACUGGUGACUGGGGCUAAGUCGUA
This 1437-nucleotide ribosomal RNA is filed under the name uncultured organism. RNAcentral's name for it is "SSU rRNA". It matches the Rfam family "Bacterial small subunit ribosomal RNA". The record is from RNAcentral.